Molecule: ribosomal RNA, 468 nt
Filed under: uncultured bacterium
Lineage: Bacteria
Description: partial 16S ribosomal RNA
Rfam family: Bacterial small subunit ribosomal RNA
Source: RNAcentral
GACGAACGCUGGCGGCGUGCUUAACACAUGCAAGUCGAACGGAAAGGCCCAGCUUUUGUGGGGUGCUCGAGUGGCGAACGGGUGAGUAACACGUGAGUAACCUGCCCUUGACUUUGGGAUAACUUCAGGAAACUGGGGCUAAUACCGGAUAGGAGCUCCUGCUGCAUGGUGGGGGUGGGAAAGUUUCGGCGGUUGGGGUUGGACGCGGGCCUUAUCAGCUUGUUGGUGGGGUAGGGGCUUACCAAGGCUUUGGCGGGUAGCCGGCCUGAGAGGGUGACCGGCCACAUUGGGACUGAGAUACGGCCCAGACUCCUACGGGGGGCAGCAGUGGGGAAUAUUGCACAAUGGGCGGAAGCCUGACGGAGCCACGCCGCGUGCGGGAUGACGGCCUUCGGGUUGUAAACCGCUUUCGCCUGUGACGAAGCGUGAGUGACGGUAAUGGGUAAAGAAGCACCGGCUAACUACGUG